AGCAGCCGCGGUAAUUCCAGCUCCAAUAGCGUAUAUUAAAGUUGUUGCAGUUAAAAAGCUCGUAGUUGAAUUUCGGGGUUAGUAGGUUGGUCAUGCCUCUGGUAUGUACUGGUCUCACUGAUUCCUCCUUCCUGAUGAACCGUAAUGCCAUUAAUUUGGUGUUGCGGGGAAUUUGGAUUGUUACUUUGAAAAAAUUAGAGUGUUUAAAGCAAGCUAACGCUUGAAUACAUUAGCAUGGAAUAAUGAAAUAGGACGUUCGAUCCUAUUUUGUUGGUUUCUAGGAUUGACGUAAUGAUUAAUAGGGAUAGUUGGGGGCAUUAGUAUUCAAUUGUCAGAGGUGAAAUUCUUGGAUUUAUUGAGGACUAACUACUGCGAAAGCAUUUGCCAAGGAUGUUUUCAUUAAUCAAGAACGAAAGUUAGGGGAUCGAAGACGAUCAGAUACCGUCGUAGUCUUAACCAUAAACUAUGCCGACUAGGGAUCGGAUGAUGUUAAUUUUUAAUGACUCAUUCGGCGCCUUAA
Molecule: ribosomal RNA, 520 nt
Filed under: uncultured Glomus
Lineage: Eukaryota; Fungi; Glomeromycota; Glomeromycetes; Glomerales; Glomeraceae
Description: SSU rRNA
Rfam family: Eukaryotic small subunit ribosomal RNA
Source: RNAcentral